Molecule: ribosomal RNA, 497 nt
Filed under: uncultured bacterium
Lineage: Bacteria
Description: partial 16S ribosomal RNA
Rfam family: Bacterial small subunit ribosomal RNA
Source: RNAcentral
GAUGAACGCUGGCGGCGUGCCUAAUACAUGCAAGUCGAGCGAACAGACUAUGAGCUUGCUCCUCUUACGUUAGCGGCGGACGUGUGAGUAACACGUGGAUAACCUACCUAUAUUACUUGGAUAACUUCGUGAAACCGUAUCUAAUACCGGAUAAUAUAUUGAACCGCAUGGUUCAAUAGUUAAAUACGGUUUUUCUUUCACUUAUUGAUUUAUCCUCUCCGCAUUAGCUAGUUGGUAAGGUAACGGCUUACCAAGGCAACGAUGCGUAGCCGACCUGAGAGGGUGAUCGGCGACACUGGAAGUGAGACACGGUAAAGACACCUACGGGAGGAAGCAGUAGGGAAUAGUCCGCAAUGGGCGAAAGCAUGACGGAGCAACGCCGCGUGAGUGAUGAAGGGCUUCGGAUCGUAAAACUCUGUUAUGAGGGAAGAAAAAAUGUGUAAGUAACUAUGCACGUCUUGACGGUAACUAAUCAGAAAGCAACGGCUAACUACGUG